AUGAGUCAGGAGAAGAUGAGCUCCGGCGAGCUGAUCACCGGAGGAGAAACCAGGAUGCAUCAGCGGCGGCAGGCGCAAGGGCAGCCGAGCACCAAGUUGAAGAAGCACAAGCGGCAGAAGCACCUCUACCUGGUGCUGGACGACUGGGACGGAGGCUACACCAUCCGCAAGAUCGACGUCGACGACGACGACUCCAGUAGCCCAGCCCUCAUCCUCAGCGACCACCCUGCCGUACGCCUGGUCUCACCGGCACCAUAUAUUCGCAUGAUCUUCACCUCCAUGGGCACCCACAUCCUCGCGGUGAGCAGCCAGCACCCAGCAACCCUCGCGUACGACACGGCAACCGGGGGCCUUGCCGCCGGCCCUUCCCUGCCGGACGCGCUGCUCCGUGCCGCCAACGUCUUCGUGCCUGCCGCCGAUGCGCUGUGCGCGUUCGCCUACUACUUCAAGACACGGCCUCAGUCCAUCGAGGUGAUGUCCUCCUCCGCCAAGGAUCCGAGCCGUGUGAUCCCAUGCCAGGACUGGUCAUGGAGGAGCGUCGCGCCUUCGCCUUUCGACGUCGACGAAAGGGUAAACUCCUACGCCACGCACCCUGACGGACGCACCGUCUUCGUGUCUGCCUUCCAAGGGCCGUGUCGCCGCACCGGCGGUCCAUGCGCCCGCACCUUCUCCUUCAACACCGGCGACGGCGAAUGGAGGUGCCACGGGGAGUGGGCGUUGCCUUUCAACGGCCAAGGCUACUUCGACGGCGACCUGGAUGCCUGGGUUGGGCUUGACAAGGACGGCCACGUCGGCACCUGCCAGGUAGUCUCCCGUAGCAGCACAGCAGCUGGCGCCACGGCCAUGCAGCAGCAGCUCGACUGGAAGAUGGCCAAGCACAAGCUGUGGAGUGAGGAGCAGCAGGCGGCUGAUCACGGCCCUACUCUCACUGCCAUGGGCAAUGCCAGAUUCUGCCUCGUGGACUGUGUCAAGGGAAUGGAGUUCCAUGGCCGCCUGCUCCGAGUCACCACGUUUCGCCUUAGGCACAGCCGCAAGGGAGAGCUGGAGAUCUUCGACCGUAGCACUAGGUCAUGUCAAGUGUCUAAGCACCUCGGGUCUUUCUCACCCGUUGCGUUCUGGAUGUAG
RNAcentral lists this ribosomal RNA (1125 nucleotides) under Triticum aestivum (bread wheat). RNAcentral's name for it is "partial small subunit ribosomal RNA". The record is from RNAcentral. Lineage: Eukaryota; Viridiplantae; Streptophyta; Magnoliopsida; Poales; Poaceae.